AUGACGACGGAGCCAACAGAGGACAUCGAGUUCCUUUGGAAGUGGGGCAAGUACCCGCUUCUCCUAGCCACGCUGGUCGCUAGCGUCAGCUACGUGGCCGGCCUCAACCCGCUGGGCGGCAUCAGGCCCAAGGAUGGAGGCAACACCCUAGAGUACCGCGUCCGCGCUGUCCGGCCGUACCUGCCGGCGCCUGUAGCGCCGGCACCCGCGGUCUACCCGUUUCGCGUCGGCGACCCGGUGCUCGUGCACACCUACUCGUGUCGGUACAUCGCUUUCUUCUACUGCAACGCGACCCCCUUCGUGGCGUCGCUGGUCAUCAUCAUGUUCCUGCUGGACUAG
RNAcentral lists this ribosomal RNA (339 nucleotides) under Triticum aestivum (bread wheat). Its description in RNAcentral is "partial small subunit ribosomal RNA". Lineage: Eukaryota; Viridiplantae; Streptophyta; Magnoliopsida; Poales; Poaceae. The record is from RNAcentral.